Molecule: ribosomal RNA, 490 nt
Filed under: uncultured bacterium
Lineage: Bacteria
Description: partial 16S ribosomal RNA
Rfam family: Bacterial small subunit ribosomal RNA
Source: RNAcentral
AUUGAACGCUGGCGGCAGGCCUAACACAUGCAAGUCGAACGGUAACAGGAAGCAGCUUGCUGCUUUGCUGACGAGUGGCGGACGGGUGAGUCAUGUCUGGGAAACUGCCCGAUGGAGGGGGAUAACUACUGGAAACGGUAGCUAAUACCGCAUAACGUCUCAAGCCCAAAGAGGGGGACCUUAGGGCCUCUUGCCAUCGGCUGUGCCCUGAUGGGAUUAGCUAGUAGGUGGGGUAACGGCUCACCUAGGCGACGAUCCCUAGCUGGUCUGAGAGGAUGACCAGCCACACUGGAACUGAGACACGGUCCAGACUCCUACGGGAGGCAGCAGUGGGGAAUAUUGCACAAUGGGCGCAAGCCUGAUGCAGCAAUGCCGCGUGUAUGAAGAAGGCCUUCGGGUUGUAAAGUACUGUCAGCGGGGAGGAAGGGAGUAAAGUUAAUACCUUUGCUCAUUGACGGUACCCGAAGAAGAAGCACCGGCUAACUACGUG